GUUAUAGACUACACUCACGCCCUUAAUAACUGACUCGUUUCAGUCCUCAUUCUCCAUCGUUUCAUUCUGUUUCUCUGCAAGAAACUGCCAUUUUUCUUCUUUCAGUUCCUUUCUCUAUCCUUCUAUUUUCUUGAAUAUCUUGUCAAUGGCGAUAGCGUCUCCGUCCACUCCAAGCUUCUCAGCUUCCUUCUGCUGCAAACGCGCUGAGUUCAAUCCUGUAUUUCGCUGCUUCUCCGUCGCUUUUACUCAUCGGAAUCUCCCGUUAACUCGUCGACUUGUCAUUUCUUCGCGUGUCCACUCAAAACCCUCGGAUGCUGGUGGCUCCGUUUCUCCUGACAACGGCGACGAGUUCAACGAGUACGAGAUGCCACAAGGAUUUGGAGCGGCGCAGCGAAGGAAGAAGGGAUCGUCGGUGUUCGUGAUGCUGCCGGUGGACAUAGUGGGAGUGGGAGGACAGGUGCGGAAAAAGAAGAUCAUGGUGCACUCGCUCAGAGCGCUGGCCGUGGCCGGGGUGGAGGGCGUGGUCAUUGAGUUGUGGUGGGGACUGGUGGAGAGGGACCAGCCUGGGGUUUACAACUGGCAACCUUAUUUGGAGCUUGUGGAGAUGGUGGAGAAGUGCGGCUUGAAGGUGAGAGUUGUCCUGGCCUUUCAUCAGAGAGGAAGCGGGCCUGAAGAUCCCAACUGGAUUUCACUCCCUCCUUGGGUGCUUAAUGAGAUUGACAAAAAUCCAGAUUUAGCUUACUCUGAUAGAUUGGGAAGAAGAAGUACUGAAUAUAUUUCCCUAGGAUGUGAUACUCUUCCUGUUUUAAGGGGACGAUCACCAGUCCAAGCAUAUGCCGAUUUUAUGAGGAACUUCAGAGAUACUUUUAGGCCUCUACUCGGUGAAAUCAUUAUGGGAGUCCAAGUUGGGAUGGGUCCUGCAGGUGAACUGAGAUAUCCUUUCUGCCCACCAGAGAAGCUAAAACAGGCGUGGCGAUCAGGUGAACUUGGAGAGUUUCACUGCUAUGAUAAGGUACACAAAUAUGUGAGCUUUAUUUACAAGUUUAAAAUGUUCCUCUAGCCUCUGGAGUAGGUUUCUUCAACCAUAUUAUUCUCUGCACUUUCCAACCACCCCUUCCUCCAGGCCCUUCGUCAUCCCUUAAUUAAAUCAUUGAUUUGAUGUCUUUCUUUUUCCCUUCUGAGUGCUAUGAACAGUACAUACUUGCAUCUCUGAAUGCUUGUGCUGGUGAAGCUGGAAUGCUGCGUGAAUGGGGAAAUGGAGGUCCAAUUGGUGUUAGUAGUUUGAUAAAUGAUCCUGAGAAUACUGAAUUUUUCAGAAGUCAUGACAGAACUUGGAAUAAACCGAAUGGAAAAUUUUUCCUUGAAUGGUACUCAGGGAUGUUGCUGCUUCAUGGGCAAAGGAUAUGUAUGGAUGUUGAGAACAUUUUUCGGGGUAUUGACAUUAAUACCUCUGCCAAAGUGGCUGUGAUACACUGGCAUUAUGGCACACAGUCUCAUCCAUCUGAGUUAACAGCUGGCUACUACAAUACUUCCACCAGAGAUGGGUACCUACCAAUUGCUCAGAUGUUCAGUAGGUAUCGGUUCACCAUGUGCUGUGCAGGUUUUGAAAUGCAAGAUGUGGAAGAGAAUCCUCUGAACCAAGUAAGUAGUCCAGGGGGUUUUCUUAAAAAGCUUUUAUGGGCUGCUAGGAUUUGUCGUGUCCCCUUGGAAGGCGAAAAUUCAACUGCUAUUUGGGAUGAUAAAUCGUUUCAACAGGUGCUAAAAAUGAGAAGGUUCUACUCGUAUGGUCUGAAAAGACCCUCCUUUUCUUUCAACUUUGUGAGGAUGGAAAAGAACAUGUUUGAACAACAUAACUGGGUUCGAUUUAGUAAUUUUGUAAGGAAAAUGUCAGAUGAUAAACUUUUUCUAGCCAAUUUAGGUUUUGGUGAUGAUAUGCAACUGUCUUUGAUGUCAGAUGAUGCAAAAUUUGGGGAAAGGUUUGCAGCUUGUUAAGGAAGCUCCAUUCCAUUUCCUCUACCAAGGCAAAUCUUAUACUUUGACCACCAUCAUUUGAAGUGUAUACCUUAUAGUAGUACAUAAUUCAAUGAUCUCUGUUCUUGUUGCGAAAUGUGUAGUAAAUGCCUCAUUUUUUUCACUAUGCUGCAUAGCU
This 2149-nucleotide unclassified non-coding RNA is filed under the name Hevea brasiliensis (rubber tree). Lineage: Eukaryota; Viridiplantae; Streptophyta; Magnoliopsida; Malpighiales; Euphorbiaceae. The record is from RNAcentral.